UGGGGAAUUUUGGACAAUGGGCGCAAGCCUGAUCCAGCCAUGCUGCGUGCGGGAAGAAGGCCUUCGGGUUGUAAACCGCUUUUGUCAGGGAAGAAACGGUCUGCGUUAAUACCACGGACUAAUGACGGUACCUGAAGAAUAAGCACCGGCUAACUACGUGCCAGCAGCCGCGGUAAUACGUAGGGUGCAAGCGUUAAUCGGAAUUACUGGGCGUAAAGCGUGCGCAGGCGGCUUUGCAAGACAGAUGUGAAAUCCCCGGGCUCAACCUGGGAACUGCAUUUGUGACUGCAAGGCUGGAGUACGGUAGAGGGGGAUGGAAUUCCGCGUGUAGCAGUGAAAUGCGUAGAUAUGCGGAGGAACACCGAUGGCGAAGGCGAAUCCCCUGGACCUGUACUGACGCUCAUGCACGAAAGCGUGGGGAGCAAACAGGAUUAGAUACCCACGUAGUCCCUGAGCGGGCUGGCAAGGCGCAU
Molecule: ribosomal RNA, 473 nt
Filed under: uncultured bacterium
Lineage: Bacteria
Description: bacterial SSU rRNA
Rfam family: Bacterial small subunit ribosomal RNA
Source: RNAcentral